This 74-nucleotide transfer RNA is filed under the name Candidatus Magasanikiibacteriota bacterium. Its description in RNAcentral is "Candidatus Magasanikbacteria bacterium tRNA-Ala". It matches the Rfam family "tRNA". Rfam says of the family: Transfer RNA (tRNA) molecules are approximately 80 nucleotides in length. Their secondary structure includes four short double-helical elements and three loops (D, anti-codon, and T loops). The record is from RNAcentral. Lineage: Bacteria; Candidatus Magasanikiibacteriota.
GGGCUCAUAGUAAAGUGGUAUUACGCGGCAUUCGCAUUGCCGAGUCCCGGGUUCGACUCCCGGUGAGUCCACCA